AAUGAACGCUGGCGGCGUGGAUUAGGCAUGCAAGUCGAACGCGAAAGUUCCCUUCGGGGAGCGAGUAGAGUGGCGAAAGGGUGAAUAAUGCUUGGAUGACCUGCCCUCGAGACGGGGACAACAGUUCGAAAGGACUGCUAAUACCCGAUAGUCCGGUUUAGAUGCGUCUAGAUCGGUAAAUGGUGCUUCCGCUCGAGGAGGGGUUCAAGUCCUAUCAGCUUGUUGGUGAGGUAACGGCUCACCAAGGCGAUGACGGGUAGCCGGACUGAGAGGUUGGCCGGCCACAUGGGAACUGAGACACUGUCCUGACUCCUACGGGAGGCUGCAGUCGAGAAUCUUCUGCAAUGGGCGAAAGCCUGACAGAGCGACGCCGCGUGGAGGAUGAAGGCCCUCGGGUCGUGGAACUCCUGUCACAUGUUAUGAAACGCACAGGUCUACCUGUGCGCUGACAAAAGCAUGAGAGGAAGUCACGGCUAACUUCGUG
This 484-nucleotide ribosomal RNA is filed under the name uncultured bacterium. RNAcentral describes it as "bacterial SSU rRNA". It matches the Rfam family "Bacterial small subunit ribosomal RNA", at positions 29 to 507 of the family's 1533-position model. The record is from RNAcentral.